This 484-nucleotide ribosomal RNA is filed under the name uncultured bacterium. RNAcentral describes it as "partial 16S ribosomal RNA". It matches the Rfam family "Bacterial small subunit ribosomal RNA", at positions 28 to 507 of the family's 1533-position model. The record is from RNAcentral.
AUUGAACGCUGGCGGCAUGCUUCACACAUGCAAGUCGAACGGCAGCGCGGGCUUCGGCCUGGCGGCGAGUGGCGAACGGGUGAGUAAUGCAUCGGAACGUGCCCAGUAGUGGGGGAUAGCCCGGCGAAAGCCGGAUUAAUACCGCAUACGACCUGAGGGUGAAAGCGGGGGACCGAAAGGCCUCGCGCUAUUGGAGCGGCCGAUGUCGGAUUAGCUAGUUGGUGGGGUAAAGGCUUACCAAGGCGACGAUCCGUAGCUGGUCUGAGAGGAUGACCAGCCACACUGGGACUGAGACACGGCCCAGACUCCUACGGGAGGCAGCAGUGGGGAAUUUUGGACAAUGGGGGCAACCCUGAUCCAGCCAUGCCGCGUGCGGGAAGAAGGCCUUCGGGUUGUAAACCGCUUUUGUUCGGGAAGAAAUCCUCUGGGCUAAUACCCCGGGGGGAUGACGGUACCGGAAGAAUAAGCACCGGCUAACUACGUG